Molecule: long non-coding RNA, 236 nt
Filed under: Elaeis guineensis (African oil palm)
Lineage: Eukaryota; Viridiplantae; Streptophyta; Magnoliopsida; Arecales; Arecaceae
Description: long non-coding RNA (EGUI_LNC036715)
Source: RNAcentral
AAAAGGCAAAUCAUGGGGAUGCCCCUGUUCAAUAUGGCCUAUGGUGGCUCCUUGGAAGGCCUCCAGGCAGGGCAACGACAAGACCAGUCACACAAGGACGCAAGCCAUUCGUGGAGGACACCAUCAUGUCAAGUAGGUCUUUGACGCCUGGGACGUGGAUCAUAAAAUGCCAAAAAAUUGUGCCUUAAACCUUUUCUCUGUUCUUUUUUUGAAGAAUGGCUUAUCAUUCCCCCAAU